CCUAAGAUUUUAUAUUGGCUGAAAAUAUUUUUCUCCAGGUACACAUUCCUACAAAUUGUUAGUUUUCAGGUUUUUAAAAUAUUGAAGGAAAAAGAAAAUUGAAGCUUCCGAUAUGUGAUAGCUGGCAUGAUAGCUCGAGGUAGAGAGCAGUUUUUUUUUCUUUCUUUUUUUUAAUAAAGGUUUUGGCCAUUUUGAACAAAAAUGAUCUUACCAAGUAAUUUUUAGCAGCAAUACAAGAAAGGUAAGGUGCCCCAAGUUCUCAAUAAACAGCUUCGCAAUACCAGUCCACAAUUUUAAUGAAUUAUAAGGCUGAAUAUAAUUUCGAAGUUUAGACCUGCUGUUCAGAGAACGACCGAAAUUAUCAUCAAUAUUUGCUGGGUGAGCUAAUCAAUGAAAAUUGAGCUGCAUCCUUUUAAUUUUUUCACGUUUCAAACAUCAUUACAAUAAGCUGCUUGACUCUCCAAAUUUUCAGCUUCAUUUUUCCGGGUGGUGGUACUUGGAAAUCUACUGAUCUGAUGUCCAAGAGUAUUUGAUUUGCGACUGUUUUCAUCGUUUUUAAAUGGUUUUAAUGCAAAAGAGUAAAGACGUAAGGAUGGAAAAGGUCCUGCGGCCACCAAAAUAUGAACAGAAUAACGGUGAACAGGUAGAUUAUUUUAUUUCUUCAUUUUAUUCAUUUAAUUUCCUUUUCAAAUUUUAAAAAUUGAAAUAUUUCAAAUAAUUGAAUCAUUUUGAGUAAAGAACAGGAGCGUAUCCUACAGCAGGCAAAAGUAGCGCAAAAAUUCCGCAGUCAUGGAAAGAAAGCACAUGAGUUGAAAAAUACGCCCAAUUAAUUUUGGCAUCAACCAAGAAAAAUACCAAGAACCCGUUUGAGCAAACUUGAAGACACGAUGGACUGAACUGGAAAAACAUGCAUUUUACUAUAAUCCUCGGUUGAUUCCAAUGUUAGUCAAGAUUGGUAUUAACCCGUUCUCUAUCUAGUUGCGCCAAAGGAGCAAAGAAAAUAUUAAGUAUUCGGAAUUUUGAUUUCA
Molecule: long non-coding RNA, 1028 nt
Filed under: Bemisia tabaci
Lineage: Eukaryota; Metazoa; Arthropoda; Insecta; Hemiptera; Aleyrodidae
Description: lncRNA ENSSSA1UGG005377
Source: RNAcentral